ACGGAAGGCAGCAGUGGGGAAUAUUGGGCAAUGGGGGAAACCCUGACCCAGCAACGCCGCGUGAAGGAAGAAGGCCUUCGGGUUGUAAACUUCUUUUACCAGGGACGAUAAUGACGGUACCUGGAGAAAAAGCAACGGCUAACUACGUGCCAGCAGCCGCGGUAAUACGUAGGUUGCAAGCGUUGUCCGGAUUUACUGGGUGUAAAGGGCGUGUAGGCGGAGCUGCAAGUCAGAUGUGAAAUCCCGGGGCUCAACCCCGGAACUGCAUUUGAAACUGUAGCCCUUGAGAAUCGGAGAGGCAAGCGGAAUUCCUAGUGUAGCGGUGAAAUGCGUAGAUAUUAGGAGGAACACCAGUGGCGAAGGCGGCUUGCUGGACGACAACUGACGCUGAGGCGCGAAAGCGUGGGGAGCAAACAGGAUUAGAUACCCUGGUA
RNAcentral lists this ribosomal RNA (434 nucleotides) under uncultured Oscillospiraceae bacterium. RNAcentral describes it as "partial 16S ribosomal RNA". It matches the Rfam family "Bacterial small subunit ribosomal RNA", at positions 341 to 792 of the family's 1533-position model. Lineage: Bacteria; Bacillati; Bacillota; Clostridia; Eubacteriales; Oscillospiraceae. The record is from RNAcentral.